Molecule: long non-coding RNA, 1070 nt
Filed under: Dermacentor andersoni
Lineage: Eukaryota; Metazoa; Arthropoda; Arachnida; Ixodida; Ixodidae
Description: uncharacterized LOC126547886
Source: RNAcentral
CUGCAAAAUUAUGCGAGUGAGGGGAUGUCAAACAAUGGGUCAGGAAAUGCAUUGUUUUUCUGCAAAACAAAAGCUGAUUGCCAUUGCAUAAGUCACUUUAGUAUCAUGAGACUGCUCCUUGAUAAAUUCAGAAAUAAACCAAAAUACAGGACACGCAAAAAUAAAACAAUUUAAUGAUGCUCUCUCCACACUGGCAUAAAUAAAAACAAACACAUAACAUCUAAUGUGAACAUAUCAGACGCCUUGUGAAACACUAAAGGAAAAAUUCAGUUUCGAGCUAUGGCACUUGCCGCAUAGAUGUGGGGGACCUUGUACUAAUAGUGAUAGUUACCACUGCAUUUAGAAAUUGAAAGCAUACAUGCAGAAAAGGAUGAUUCGUUAUAUUUUUGGCUACCAUUUCAAAUGCCUCCACCACGUGUUACAAUGCUGCACGCAGCCAUACUAAGGAUCUCGCAGCAACACCUGCAGGUAAAAAGCAGAAGCAGUUAAAGUGCUGGUGUGUACUGGACACUAUGUUUGAAAACUUUUAGGCAAGAAGAGUGCAAGAAGCAGACAUAACAACUGCAUUUAUUUCCAUAAUUCCCCAUUUGAAUGGCCUUUUCUUUUUGCUUAGACAAUGCCUGCACCUAGCCACAGCCGCUCCCUCAUACAGACUUCGCAAGCCAAGAGGCCGUGGAGGCAAAUGCAGGCAGCCAGCACACCUCGAACAGCCACCUUGACUGCGGGUGUGUCACCCUAGUCGCCAAGGAAACAUUUGAGGGAAAGCGACAGGCAAUGUGAACAGCCACUUCUCCAUGUAAAUGAUAGUGUUUCUCUCGGAUGACUGCUACGCCUCGCCUCGCCAGCACACUUGUGCACAAAGAUGCCGCGGAGGCACGUGCAGGUCAGAGGCAAGAAGCAGUGGUACUGGUGUCGACAUUCACCGAAUUUCUUUUUCUUACACUGAGGCAGCCAGCAGACCUCGAACAGCCACCUUGACUGCGGGUGUGUCAGUAGAUUCCUGUUGUACAUAUGCUCAUAAUAAACUUCAGUAAACUUGAACUUGAUAAUAAACUUGAAGGCAAAUGGGA